GACGAACGCUGGCGGCGUGCUUAACACAUGCAAGUCGAACGGUGAAAGCGGAGCUUGCUCCGCUGGAUCAGUGGCGAACGGGUGAGUAACACGUGGGCAACCUGCCCCUCACUUCGGGAUAACUCCGGGAAACCGGGGCUAAUACCGGAUAUGACCUCCUUGGGCAUCCUUGGAGGUGGAAAGUUUUUCGGUGAGGGAUGGGCCCGCGGCCUAUCAGCUUGUUGGUGAGGUAGUGGCUCACCACGGCGACGACGGGUAGCCGGCCUGAGAGGGCGACCGGCCACACUGGGACUGAGACGCGACCCAGACUCCUACGGGAGGCAGCAGUGGGGAAUAUUGCGCAAGGGGCGAACGCCUGACGCAGAAACGCCGCGUGCAGGAUGACGGCCUUCGGGUUGUAAACCGCUUUCAGCGGGGAAGAAGCCGCAAGGUGACGGUACCUGCAGAAGAAGCACCGGCUAACUACGUGCCAGCCGCCGCAGUAA
This 485-nucleotide ribosomal RNA is filed under the name uncultured bacterium. RNAcentral's name for it is "partial 16S ribosomal RNA". It matches the Rfam family "Bacterial small subunit ribosomal RNA", at positions 28 to 523 of the family's 1533-position model. The record is from RNAcentral.